AGCGAACGCUGGCGGCAGGCCUAACACAUGCAAGUCGAACGAACCUUUCGGGGUUAGUGGCGGACGGGUGAGUAACACGUGGGAACGUGCCUUUAGGUUCGGAAUAACUUCGGGAAACUUGUGCUAAUACCGAAUGUGCCCUUCGGGGGAAAGAUUAAUCGCCUUUAGAGCGGCCCGCGUCUGGUUAGCUAGUUGGUUGAGGUAAUGGCUCACAAAGGCGACGAUCAGUAGCUGGUCUGAGAGGGUGAUCAGCCACAUUGGGACUGAGACACGGCCCAAACUCCAACGGGAGGCAGCAGUGGGGAAUCUUGCGCAAUGGGCGAAAGCCGGACGCAUCCAUGCCGCGUGAAGGAUGAAGGUCUUAGGAUUGGAAAAUUCUUUCACCGGGGACGAUAAUGACGGUACCCGGAGAAGAGGCCCCGGCUAACUUCGUG
RNAcentral lists this ribosomal RNA (434 nucleotides) under uncultured bacterium. Its description in RNAcentral is "partial 16S ribosomal RNA". It matches the Rfam family "Bacterial small subunit ribosomal RNA", at positions 29 to 507 of the family's 1533-position model. The record is from RNAcentral.